Molecule: unclassified non-coding RNA, 371 nt
Filed under: Hevea brasiliensis (rubber tree)
Lineage: Eukaryota; Viridiplantae; Streptophyta; Magnoliopsida; Malpighiales; Euphorbiaceae
Source: RNAcentral
GGAAAUUAGUAAAUUUCAGCACUUCUUUCCCUAUUUUGGGCAAUAUUUCAGGUUUAUUUUCGACUAUCCUUUGUGUUUUUCUUCUCUGCUUCUGUUGCCAAGGUUUGUGACUAAUCUUGCUUGCUCAAUUGUCUUUCUUGUGCUAUGCUUUUAAAAAUUAGGGAUUAAUAAUGGAGCAGUCGCAUUUUCUUCUUCACAUUUACUUGUUCUAUUCCUAGUUUGUUGCUGAGAAUACACACACAUUUCAAUCAUCUUACAGUCGUGUGCUGUGAUUCUAAUUUUCAUCAUAUUAAGGACAUAUAAAUUUGUGAAUUGUAUGAAAAAGUGCAGUCCUGGAAGAGUGGCUAAGAAUUUUCUUGCAUUAUCCUUUA